UGGUUUGGCAGUGAGCGAUUCUUAUUAGGGGAAUAUGCAUAGUGAAGGAUGGUCCACCUAUUAGUUUACUCUUUUUAUGUUGGUGUAUGUCUGGUUUGAUAUUAUUGUUGAAUAAUUUAAGUUUGUGUAGUUUUAGUUAAGCUAAGUCUAUGUGCUGCUUAUGGGAGUUUUUGUGUGUUACAUUAAUAAGGGUGUUAUUGUAAG
RNAcentral lists this ribosomal RNA (204 nucleotides) under Echinococcus granulosus. RNAcentral's name for it is "partial 12S ribosomal RNA". Lineage: Eukaryota; Metazoa; Platyhelminthes; Cestoda; Cyclophyllidea; Taeniidae. The record is from RNAcentral.